GUGAGGGAGCUCAGCAGCAGGUUCUCCCCUAGUGGAGCCUUGAUGGGGCUGCAGCCCCGGCCAACAGCUUGACUGCAACCUCAUGAGCGACCUGGAGCCAGAGGCAGCCUGCUAAGCUGCUCCUGGAUUCCUGACACACACAGGCUGUGAGACCAUCGAUGCCUGUUGUUUCAAGCUGUUAACUUGCUGAGUGACUGUCAGAUGCUGAGCACUGUCCCAGGUUCUGAAAAUAAAGACCUCGAGACUCUACUGCCAUCUUGGUUUACACGGUUUGAUGAAGCAAGCUAUGUUCUGGAGAUGCCCACAUGGCAAGGAACUAAAGGUGGCUUCUAGCCAACAGCCAGCUAAGAACUGAAGCCCUCAGUCCAACGACCCUCAAGGAACUGAAUCCUGCCAACAACAUGGGAGCUGGGAAGCAGCUCCUUCCCCAGUUAAACGUUCAGCUGAAACCCCAGCCUGGCUGACACCUUGGUUACAGCUCCUGAGAGACCCUGAGCCAUGCCCAGAUGAUAACGGACACUUUGAGAUGAUAAUUGUGUUGUUUUAAGCUGCUAAAUUUGGGUGUAAUUAUUGUGCAUCAAUAGAUAAUAUGCUCUCCCAUGGCAAACCAUUCAAACAAUGCAAGUAACUGCAUCUCACAGAAAGAAU
Molecule: long non-coding RNA, 648 nt
Filed under: Equus asinus (donkey)
Lineage: Eukaryota; Metazoa; Chordata; Mammalia; Perissodactyla; Equidae
Description: lncRNA (ENSEASG00005035454.1)
Source: RNAcentral